This 253-nucleotide ribosomal RNA is filed under the name uncultured bacterium. RNAcentral's name for it is "partial 16S ribosomal RNA". It matches the Rfam family "Bacterial small subunit ribosomal RNA", at positions 524 to 776 of the family's 1533-position model. The record is from RNAcentral.
UACAGGGGGUGCAAGCGUUGCUCGGAAUUAUUGGGCGUAAAGCGCGCGUAGGCGGCUACCUAAGUCGGAUGUGAAAGCCCCUGGCUCAACUGGGGAAGUGCACCCGAAACUGAGUAGCUAGAGUGCAAAAGAGGGUCGCGGAAUUCCCGGUGUAGAGGUGAAAUUCGUAGAUAUCGGGAGGAACACCGGUGGCGAAGGCGGCGACCUGGGUUGACACUGACGCUGAGGCGCGAAAGCGUGGGGAGCAAACAGG